UCUCAUCCUCUCGACGAGUACCGUACCUGCUCUCUAUCUCGCGCAAGUGCCACGCUUCCGUCAUUAUCGGUCGUCACUGACGGAAUACCGACGAGUACUGCCGCGCUCUAUGAAUAUCCGUUAUGGUGCACUAUACUCCGUUUGCGAGGCAAGAGCGACGACCGUUACUUCGCGAGCAAGCCGGAAGUAUCCGUUUUGCGCGUUCUUCGAUAUCCCGGAAUACGAGUCGGACACACCAGCGGCACCUGAUUCUUCUCCUGUAUUUAUCCCGCAGCAUCCUAAAAAUCUGACGAUGGGGAAGGACGGGAAACAGGAUAGCCGACAGAGCGGAAGAACUCUCAUGCGAGAUUACCGCUUGACGGAGCUAUACCUUCUGACGAUCUUCUGUGCGUUUACGUCAGGAACACUUUAUUUUACAUAUUUACACCGGUUUCUCUCUCGAGAUUUUUGGUCUACCCUCUCUCUCUCUCUUUCUCUCUCUCUCUCUCUCUCUCUCUUUCUCGAGCGCUCUUUCUCUCUCUUUUCCACGCAUACAUUACUCUUUUGCACACACGCACGCACGCACGUUUCUGAUACGCGUUUCUUCCUUCGAAACAGAUACGAAAAUUAUUUCAUAAAU
Long non-coding RNA from Monomorium pharaonis (pharaoh ant), 619 nucleotides. RefSeq lists it as uncharacterized. The transcript has 2 exons. The record is from RefSeq and is a predicted model, not a curated record. Lineage: Eukaryota; Metazoa; Arthropoda; Insecta; Hymenoptera; Formicidae.